Molecule: small nuclear RNA, 109 nt
Filed under: Dasypus novemcinctus (nine-banded armadillo)
Lineage: Eukaryota; Metazoa; Chordata; Mammalia; Cingulata; Dasypodidae
Source: RNAcentral
GUGCUUGCUUCGGCAGCACUUAUACUAAAAGUGGAACCAUACAGAGAAGAUUAGCAUGGCCCCUGAGCAAGGAUGGCAUUCAAAUUCGUGGUAGAUGUCCUGGGGAUUU